This 2626-nucleotide long non-coding RNA is filed under the name Equus caballus (horse). RNAcentral's name for it is "lncRNA (ENSECAG00000034878.2)". Lineage: Eukaryota; Metazoa; Chordata; Mammalia; Perissodactyla; Equidae. The record is from RNAcentral.
CAGAGAGAUCUAGAAUCCCACGGGCUCAGCUUGAGGGGCUGAGGCCAGUCUGUUCAUUGCACCUGAAGACAAAGGGCUAUGGCACCCACUGGGCUCCUCCUCCCUCCUCCUGGGGCUCUGGGCAGGGCCAUCAACCCCCUUGCCUCUGCAGAGGUAGUGGAGAGAACCUGAGUUUUGCUGACAGAGAGGUGUGCCUGCCUAUUCUGGAGCUGCCACUGCCCAAAGGAACAAAGUCAAUUCUCUAAACCUCGAUUUUCUUUUCUGGAAAUUGGUGCAACAAUAUCUAUCCCAAGAAACUGUUGAAAGAUUAGAAAUGUUAUUUGUACAGCAUCAGGCACUUCAUAAAUGUCAUGGCUGGCAGGGCAGAGUAGCGACCUGCCCGGAGGCUGUCCCUCUUUGUGGGGGAGAAGGCACAGCAUGUUUUACUUGGUCCUGCUGGUGCUGGUGGGAACCACCACCUGCAGAUUAGCUCCAGCGCGAACCCCAGCCUUUUUUGUUAUACUCUGAGGCUCACCUGAGGCUCUGUGAUAAAGGAUGGACCACAUAUUGUGUCUUCAACAAAGACCAUCUCAGUGACGCAUGGGAAAGAAGUGUACCAGGUGGGAGCUGGAGACAGAAGAGAGUCAGACCAGGAGAUGUGAGGAUGUCAGAGUGAUGCGAUGUGGGAAGGACGAGGCCUGAAGUUGCUGACUUUGAGGAUGGAGAGAGGAGUCACAAGUCAAGGAAUGUGGACAACCUGUAGAAGAUGGAAAAGGAGGAGAGUCACUGUCUAAGGUCACAGAGCCAGCUCAGAGUGCUCCGCUGCUCCUGGGGUUGCAGAGGGGCUACAGAGGGGCUGCAGAGGGUAUGAGCCAAGUUGGUGGUUGGCGUUUCUUGAUAACACUCAGUAAGUGCCAGGCUAGAUGCUAAGAGCUUCCCUGCAUCGUCAAUGGCUCUCACAACCUCCUUUAAAAGAAGGAGGCUUAUGGGACCACCUCAUACACAUUAAGAUGGCUACUAUCAAAAAAACAACAACCAGAAAAUGACAAGUGUUGGCAGGAUGUGGAGACAUUGGAAGCUGGUGCUUUGCUGGUGGGAAAGUAGAAGUUGCAGCAGCUAUGGAAAAUGCUCCAACGGUCCCUCAAAAGGCUGAAAUCAGAGACCUCCGUGGUGUUUCAGAGGACAGGAGGGUGUGCAGAGGACGCCCCAGAAAUCUUUCCCACAGGAGAAAGGCUCAGAAGACCAAGCCAGCUACCCUACAGUCACCAAAGGCCCCCAUGUGGUGGAGCAGGGGAGCAGGGCAGCUGGGUCCUGAAGGAGAAGGUUCCUGAACUGCCUGGGGACAGCAAAAAUGAUGACUUUUCUAAAGCCCACCUGGAGCUGCUUGGAAGCAGAUCCUGAAUACGUGGCUCUAGAAGGCAAGACCCUGUGACUCACAGGGCCUUGGGCAUCCUGCAUCUCAGGAAUGCCAGUGUUCAUGGACAGCAGACUGCCCGAGGUGUAAUCGGUGUCUUCCCGGUGCUAGCUGUUUACUUGCACACAUCUAGGCAAACUUCUCAGCCUCCCCUGGCCUCCAUUACAGGAAAACAGGAAUUCUCUCCUGCCCCUACCUCACAGGAUGGGCCUAGGACCAGCUGAUGUGCUGGUUAACACAGACCUUUCCAGAGAGACGUGCUCAUCAGAUACAAGGCAGGCAUAUCCUCAUCAUUUUGAGUACAUUGACAAUUAGCCCAAGGAGAACCCGCAGGGCUGGGACCACCCUAAUGUGGCACAAAGGGAAGCCAGUGGAGAGCCAACUGAGAGCUCUGGCCUGUCAGGUUGUAUAGAAAUGUCACAGAGAGAGUAGCUCUCAUAGCUGACAACACCCUGUGGGGGGCUGGGGCUGAGGCAAGGAACAGAGAGGAGAAACUCCUUAAGCAAAGGAUCUAGUAGUGUCUUUCUCUCAAGACAGGCCUUUCAAGGAGCAACUUGCUCCACACCAGACUUUUUCUCUUUUCCAAAAGCUCAAGCUCCUCUUCCUCACGAUGACAGCCAUGGUGGUCUCCAGCUGACACUGUAUUCACUCUAGGAAUGACUUCAAGGUGGGUUUCCUGAUGGCUCAUGAAGGUAGCUUCGCUAAACCACACACUGUAAAUCAAGUACAUUUUUCCAGCCAUUUGCAUUGAAAAUGGCAGGCAUUUGGCCACACACUUUGUGGAGGGAUGCACUUGUCGGUUGCCUUCGAAGAAGAGCAGAGUGAGGAGCGCUGGGAGGACGAGAGAGCACGGGCUGAGCAGCAUAGGGGGAAGGACACCAAGCUCAAGAGGCAGCUACAUGAGAUAGUGAAGAAGGACAGCCGUCUUGGGAUUCCUCUGCAGGGCUAUCAAGUUAAUUCCACGUGCUGAGGUCAUGGAGUGUCACGUGGGGUACUAGAUUGCCGGUGGUGGAGACAGAAGACGGAGGUGACACAGAAGCAUAAAACAACACUCCUACUCACGAAGAAUUCACCCAGGAAGGCAGAAGAAAUAAAGAACAGAAAUAAAGGAAGGAAUACAUGAACAGGAAGGAUUUUCCUUUUCCCAGAGAAGACCUGAUUCUUGUAAAGGGCUUUAACAUGUUCAAAUACAUGACGGGUUUCGUCUUCACAGCGUUUUUUUUUUUUUUUUUU